GAUGAACGCUGGCGGCGUGCCUAAUGCAUGCAAGUCGAACGCACAGCGAAAGGUGCUUGCACCUUUCAAGUGAGUGGCGAACGGGUGAGUAACACGUGGACAACCUGCCUCAAGGCUGGGGAUAACAUUUGGAAACAGAUGCUAAUACCGAAUAAAACUUAGUGUCGCAUGACAAAAAGUUAAAAGGCGCUUCGGCGUCACCUAGAGAUGGAUCCGCGGUGCAUUAGUUAGUUGGUGGGGUAAAGGCCUACCAAGACAAUGAUGCAUAGCCGAGUUGAGAGACUGAUCGGCCACAUUGGGACUGAGACACGGCCCAAACUCCUACGGGAGGCUGCAGUAGGGAAUCUUCCACAAUGGGCGAAAGCCUGAUGGAGCAACGCCGCGUGUGUGAUGAAGGCUUUCGGGUCGUAAAGCACUGUUGUAUGGGAAGAACAGCUAGAAUAGGAAAUGAUUUUAGUUUGACGGUACCAUACCAGAAAGGGACGGCUAAAUACGUGCCAGCAGCCGCAGUAA
This 513-nucleotide ribosomal RNA is filed under the name uncultured bacterium. RNAcentral describes it as "partial 16S ribosomal RNA". It matches the Rfam family "Bacterial small subunit ribosomal RNA", at positions 28 to 523 of the family's 1533-position model. The record is from RNAcentral.